CAGGAGUUGACAUGAUCUGAUUCCUUAUAAUACUGCUUCACUCACUGUACUGGAUUCAAGCAUGAGGAGACAGAUCUUCAUCAUUCUGACUGUGUUACACUCUGUGUCAGGUCAGUCACAAAACAAAUAUGUUCAUCUGACCUGUUCAUUAAUCCAGGAGAAUAUCAUAUACUGACCUGCAACCAUAAUAUCACAUCCUACGACACUAUAUUGUGGUAUCAACAAUCCAUUGAAGACACUUCCCUGAAACUCAUUGCAUAUUUAUAUUACAAAAGAGCGGCUGUUGAAAGUGUUUUCAAGGGUCACUUUAACAUUUCUGGAGAUGGUGAGAAACACUCUGCUCUUCAUGUCUCCAAACUGAGAGCUGCUGAAGACAGUGCUGCGUUUUACUGUG
Molecule: long non-coding RNA, 394 nt
Organism: Pygocentrus nattereri (red-bellied piranha)
Lineage: Eukaryota; Metazoa; Chordata; Actinopteri; Characiformes; Serrasalmidae
Exons: 3
Source: RefSeq, a predicted model, not a curated record